RNAcentral lists this transfer RNA (74 nucleotides) under Verrucomicrobiales bacterium. Its description in RNAcentral is "tRNA-Gln". It matches the Rfam family "tRNA". From Rfam's summary of the family: Transfer RNA (tRNA) molecules are approximately 80 nucleotides in length. Their secondary structure includes four short double-helical elements and three loops (D, anti-codon, and T loops). Further hydrogen bonds mediate the characteristic L-shaped molecular structure. tRNAs have two regions of fundamental functional importance: the anti-codon, which is responsible for specific mRNA codon recognition, and the 3' end, to which the tRNAs corresponding amino acid is attached (by aminoacyl-tRNA synthetases). tRNAs cope with the degeneracy of the genetic code in two manners: having more than one tRNA (with a specific anti-codon) for a particular amino acid; and 'wobble' base-pairing, i.e. permitting non-standard base-pairing at the 3rd anti-codon position. Lineage: Bacteria; Pseudomonadati; Verrucomicrobiota; Verrucomicrobiia; Verrucomicrobiales. The record is from RNAcentral.
UGCCCGAUGGUGUAACGGUAGCACAGCAGACUCUGGAUCUGUUUGUCAUGGUUCCAAUCCAUGUCGGGCAGCCA